RNAcentral lists this ribosomal RNA (273 nucleotides) under uncultured bacterium. RNAcentral's name for it is "partial 16S ribosomal RNA". It matches the Rfam family "Bacterial small subunit ribosomal RNA", at positions 524 to 796 of the family's 1533-position model. The record is from RNAcentral.
UACGUAGUGUGCAAGCGUUGUCCGGAAUUAUUGGGCGUAAAGAGCUCGUAGGCGGUCUGUCGCGUCGGCUGUGAAAACUCGGGGCUCAACCCCGAGCCUGCAGUCGAUACGGGCAGACUAGAGUGCUGUAGGGGAGACUGGAAUUCCUGGUGUAGCGGUGAAAUGCGCAGAUAUCAGGAGGAACACCGGUGGCGAAGGCGGGUCUCUGGGCAGUAACUGACGCUGAGGAGCGAAAGCGUGGGGAGCGAACAGGAUUAGAAACCCGCGUAGUCC